Molecule: long non-coding RNA, 1519 nt
Organism: Mirounga angustirostris (Northern elephant seal)
Lineage: Eukaryota; Metazoa; Chordata; Mammalia; Carnivora; Phocidae
Exons: 2
Source: RefSeq, a predicted model, not a curated record
GAGGGGGAGGAGGGCAUGCUCAAGAAGGUUUCAGGUCACAAACUGGUCAUCAUGGCAGAUUUGUCCAAGAUGGCAUUAGUCUGAUUCACACCAGGGUCUACAGAUAGAUUUGGAAGUCAUUAAUAUAUAGGUAAUGAAGGAUAGUUGGAAGAAAGGCAGGCAGGGACAAGGCCCCCACCCCCGUCCUAAGAGGAAAACUACCCUUAAAAGGAAAAAGACCCCAUGCUGUUAUUCUAGGCUUUACUCAGUGCCCUAGCUUUAAGUCUUCCUACUGGAGGACUUAAAACUUGUAUGUGACAAAAAGGAAGGGAAUGGCCUUGGACAUCCUAACCCAGGCCUGGGGGCCAGCUCAAUAGCCAGUGGGAUAUUUAAACAAAGUGCUUGAUCUGGUGGCCUGCGCUGGCCAGCAUGCCUUAGGGCAGUGGUGGCCACUACCCUCUUGGUCCCCAAGGCUACAAAACACCACCCUGGAAGGAGCCUUCCACCCUUUCCCAAACGAACAACUACCUGAUAGGUAGAUGAGUGUGUGGACAAAAACCUGAUUGGGUGACAGGUUCUUGGGGGUUAAUCAGAUUAAAACAGCCCACACCGAAGAGCCCAUAAAAACCCCUGGAUUUAAACACCAAAUUGGCAACCCAACCCUCUCGGGUCCCCUCCCUCAUUGGGAGCUUUGUACUAUCACUCAGUAAACUUUGUUUUACUGUAGCUCAAUGAACUUCGCUUUGUUACCCACCACUCUUCGUCUGGUCUUCCUCUUCAUUCUUAGAAGCGAUGUGACCAAGAACUACGUGCACCGAAGGACAAGAAAUCCUGUAACAUAGGUGAUAGUUGAAACUAUCAGAGUGGAUGAGAACACAAAGACAUGUAGAAGAGAAGAAAGGAGACCCAAGAGUCGAAGUCUGUGGAACACUGACAUGAGAAAGACAGGCUUGUUCAAGUCAUUACAAUGUGCCUCAUUUUUGCUUAUCUGCUGUCACUGGCAGUGAAGUAAAAGAACUCGCUCUGAUGUAAUGGAGUGGAUAACCAACUGAUAUACCAAGAUUAAAAAUUUUGGUAAGGCAGACAAACCUCUGAAGUACCAUUUGAGAUAUUUCCUGGCCGGAUCUGACACGUUUAGCACCCUAUCAUAAAGUGAAGGGAGGCAAAGUUAUUCUGUUCAAUAAAUGUGCAUCCUCAUGGAUCUGGAAAGAAAAUACCUGAGAAUUUAACUAAGGUCUAAGUGAAUCAUAACGUGAAUCUUAAAAGGUUGCAGCAAAUGUUAAGUUUCUUGUUCACAGUUUAAAAAAGAAAAAAAUGACUCCAGAUAUGGUAAAAUUCCAACAUCCUAAGAAUGUAGUAUUGCAUAAAUCAUAGUAAGUAAAAUAACUGGAAAGCAGCGUUACAUCUUCUUGAAAUCAGAGUCUAAACUAACUAAAAUGACUACAUCUUCUAUGUUUUCUGUGCUUUUUUGACAAAUCUGGUUGAACGAAAUAAACUUCAUCUUUCCUAACAGACACAAAAUAAAUAGGAGAAAUGCCCA